GAUGAACGCUAGCGGCAGGCCUAACACAUGCAAGUCGAGGGGCAGCACAGAAACAGCAAUGUUUUGGUGGCGACCGGCGGACGGGUGCGUAACGCGUAUGCAACCUACCUUUAACAGGGGGAUAACGGAGAGAAAUUUCCACUAAUACCCCAUAACAUCGAUCAAGGCAUCUUGAUUGGUUGAAAACUCAGGUGGUUAAAGACGGGCAUGCGUUGUAUUAGGUAGUUGGUGAGGUAAUGGCUCACCAAGCCUACGAUACAUAGGGGGACUGAGAGGUUAGCCCCCCACACUGGUACUGAGACACGGACCAGACUCCUACGGGAGGCAGCAGUGAGGAAUAUUGGUCAAUGGGGGCAACCCUGAACCAGCCAUGCCGCGUGCAGGAAGACGGCUCUAUGAGUUGUAAACUGCUUUUAAACAGGGAUAAAGCACAGUAUGUAUACUGUGUUGAAGGUACUGUAAGAAUAAGGAUCGGCUAACUCCGUGCCAGCCGCCGCCGUAA
This 502-nucleotide ribosomal RNA is filed under the name uncultured bacterium. Its description in RNAcentral is "partial 16S ribosomal RNA". It matches the Rfam family "Bacterial small subunit ribosomal RNA", at positions 28 to 523 of the family's 1533-position model. The record is from RNAcentral.